RNAcentral lists this ribosomal RNA (497 nucleotides) under uncultured bacterium. RNAcentral describes it as "partial 16S ribosomal RNA". It matches the Rfam family "Bacterial small subunit ribosomal RNA", at positions 28 to 507 of the family's 1533-position model. The record is from RNAcentral.
GAUGAACGCUUGCGGCGUGCCUAAUACAUGCAAGUCGAGCGAACAGACGAGGAGCUUGCUCCUCUGACGUUAGCGGCGGACGGGUGAGUAACACGUGGAUAACCUACCUGUAAGACUGGGAUAACUUCGGGAAACCGGAGCUAAUACCGGAUAAUAUAUUGAACCGCAUGGUUCAAUAGUGAAAGACGGUUUUGCUGUCACUUAUAGAUGGAUCCGCGCCGCAUUAGCUAGUUGGUAAGGUAACGGCUUACCAAGGCAACGAUGCGUAGCCGACCUGAGAGGGUGAUCGGACACACUGGAACUGAGACACGGUCCAGACUCCUACGGGAGGCAGCAGUAGGGAAUCUUCCGCAAUGGGCGAAAGCCUGACGGAGCAACGCCGCGUGAGUGAUGAAGGUCUUCGGAUCGUAAAACUCUGUUAUUAGGGAAGAACAAAUGUGUAAGUAACUAUGCACGUCUUGACGGUACCUAAUCAGAAAGCCACGGCUAACUACGUG